CAAUAGCGUAUAUUUAAGUUGCUGCAGUUAAAAAGCUCGUAGUUGGAUUUCGGGUGGGAAUGGCCGGUCCGCCGUUUCGGUGUGCACUUGCUACGCCCACCUUGCUGCCGGGGACGUGCUCUUGAGUUCACGCUCGGGACACGGAGCCGGCGAGGUUACUUUGAGUAAAUUAGAGUGUCCAAAGCAGGCCUACGCUCUGAAUACAUUAGCAUGGAAUAACACGAUAGGACUCUGGCCUAUCUUGUUGGUCUGUAGGACCGGAGUAAUGAUUAAGAGGGACAGUCGGGGGCAUUCGUAUUUCAUUGUCAGAGGUGAAAUUCUUGGAUUUAUGGAAGACGAACUACUGCGAAAGCAUUUGCCAAGGAUGUUUUCAUUAA
This 377-nucleotide ribosomal RNA is filed under the name uncultured eukaryote. Its description in RNAcentral is "partial 18S ribosomal RNA". It matches the Rfam family "Eukaryotic small subunit ribosomal RNA", at positions 592 to 976 of the family's 1831-position model. The record is from RNAcentral.